Molecule: ribosomal RNA, 375 nt
Filed under: uncultured Thermovirga sp.
Lineage: Bacteria; Thermotogati; Synergistota; Synergistia; Synergistales; Thermovirgaceae
Description: bacterial SSU rRNA
Rfam family: Bacterial small subunit ribosomal RNA
Source: RNAcentral
UUACUCUUCGGAGUGAGAGCGUACACAGGUGCUGCAUGGCUGUCGUCAGCUCGUGUCGUGAGAUGUUGGUUAAGUCCCGCAACGAGCGCAACCCUCGCAUUCAGUUGCCAUCGGUAAGGCCGGGCACUCUGGAUGGACUGCCGGCGACAAGCCGGAGGAAGGUGGGGAGUGACGUCAAGUCAUCAUGGCCCUUAUGUCCAGGGCGACACACGUGCUACAAUGGCCGGCACAACGGGAAGCGAAGGGGCGACCCUGAGCGGAUCCCCAUAAAAGCCGGUCCCAGUUCGGAUUGCAGUCUGCAACUCGACUGCAUGAAGUUGGAAUCGCUAGUAAUCGUGGAUCAGCCAAGCCGCGGUGAAUACGUUCCCGGGCCUU